This 468-nucleotide ribosomal RNA is filed under the name uncultured bacterium. RNAcentral describes it as "partial 16S ribosomal RNA". It matches the Rfam family "Bacterial small subunit ribosomal RNA", at positions 28 to 507 of the family's 1533-position model. The record is from RNAcentral.
GACGAACGCUGGCGGCGUGCUUAACACAUGCAAGUCGAACGGAAAGGCCCUGCUUUUGUGGGGUGCUCGAGUGGCGAACGGGUGAGUAACACGUGAGUAACCUGCCCUUGACUUUGGGAUAACUUCAGGAAACUGGGGCUAAUACCGGAUAGGAGCUCCUGCUGCAUGGUGGGGGUUGGAAAGUUUCGGCGGUUGGGGCUGGACUCGCGGCUUAUCAGCUUGUUGGUGGGGUAGUGGCUUACCAAGGCUUUGACGGGUAGCCGGCAUGAGAGGGUGACCGGCCACAUUGGGACUGAGAUACGGACCAGACUCCUACGGGAGGCAGCAGUGGGGAAUAUUGCACAAUGGGCGGAAGCCUGAUGCAGCAACGCCGCGUGCGGGAUGACGGCCUUCGGGUUGUAAACCGCUUUCGCCUGUGACGAAGCGUGAGUGACGGUAAUGGGUAAAGAAGCACCGGCUAACUACGUG